Long non-coding RNA from Rosa rugosa (rugosa rose), 1666 nucleotides. RefSeq lists it as uncharacterized. The record is from RefSeq and is a predicted model, not a curated record. NCBI's taxonomy places the organism in Eukaryota, Viridiplantae, Streptophyta, Magnoliopsida, Rosales, Rosaceae. The transcript has 12 exons.
UUAAUUUGGGUUAUUCAUGGUUCCUUCUGAUUUCUCCUGGUUGCCCAAAACCCCAAUUCCUUCUUCUCAAAUCCCAGCGAAAUCCCAUCAAUCCCCACAACUUAUGCUUGUAAAAUGGUGCCGUGUAACUCCUCAAAGAAGAAUCUUUCUCUAUUCCGCCAUUAGAGCUUCGAACGCAAGCGCUGCCACCGAGUCUUCUUCUUCUUCUUCUCCGGGACUCUACUAGGCCAAGCAAUUUGAGCUCACAGUUCCCAACAUUGACUUGGUUCUCAAGGACGUCCGCCCCUAUCUCAUCAACUAUGGUGGAAACGUCGACAUUGUGUCCGUCGAAGACGGCAUCGUUUCUCUCAAGCUCCAAGGGGCUUGUGGAAGCUGUCCUAGCUCAACAACCACCAUGAAAAUGGGGAUUGAACGAGUGCUUAAAGAAAAGUCUGGAGAUGCACUCAAGGAUAUUCAACAAGUCUUUGAUGAAGAAAACAGAAUGACCACAGUUGAGGCAGUCUCGACACAUUGAGGCCGACGAAGAAUUUUGCACUAUUGAUGCUAUAUGGUAGCAUGUUGCCAAUUGCAAUACGUGCAGUUUUUCUAACUCAAAUAGGAAAGGCACAUUCCUUGAAGAUAGAGAAAAUUUUGUUUCAAGGCAAAUCGGACUAUUAGAAUGUGAUGGUCUUCCAGGUUCUCGUCCUAGAUGGGGUGAUUCAGCUGACAGAAAGGGAUGAAUGUGUCUAUCAAGAAAUCAUUACUCAUCUUCCUCUCUGCCCAAUUCCAAACCCCAAGAAGGUUUUGGUUAUCGGUGGAGGAGAUGGUGGUGUACUGAGGGAAGUGGCUAGUCAUUCUUCUAUCAAGCAAAUAGAUAUAUGUUUCAAAACAGUUUUUCUCUCGUGUAGCUAUUGGAUAUGAGGAUCCCAGGGUGACACUCCAUGUUGGUGAUGCUUCCUCAUUAGCUCUCUGUUAAUGUCGUAGGAGUCGCAUUUUCAAAGGUUGUUCUAGCAGGAACUUAUGAUGCAAUAAUUGUGGACUCUUCUGAUCCCAUAGUUUGAGUUUGAAGAAGCGGAAGAAGAAGGAGAAGUUCCAAAUGCAGCUUGCCAAGAAAGAUCGAAGGUGCGUUUGUUCAAGGAAUUGGGUUUUUCAUGCUUGAAGAAUACAUAGAAAAUUCUGAGGGAUUGGUGAUUUCUAAUGGUACAUGGAUGUAUAAAAUUCCUUCCAUAGACACUAUACCCAAGCAGUUCAAUGUCGAAAUACUAAAUAGUGGACAUGCAACACAGUAAUCGUGUUCUCUCUUCAAAAGGAUGACUUCGCUUUCUGGCAAAUCCACAUUGUACAAUAAACAUUAAUUAUAGUUUCAUUUCCAACCAAGUGGGCAGCAAAGACUCGGAAAGUAUACACCCAAGAGGAACUUGACGAGGUCCGCAUUGAAGUACCUGACUAUUUGCAGACUUUGCUAUAGAUGCUGACUCUACCAAAGUGAUUUUGAGUAAGGCUAGCUAGAUUUUGUAGAACCAUUUUGAAGUAGAACGUUGUACAGUUGCAGGUGAACUAAACUGCAUAUAGUUAUUGCAAUAGUCUAUUUUGGGCUAGCCUUGAUGUAGGUUAGGGUGUUUUUGCCUAUUUUUGGAACUAUUAACAAUUCUGAUGUUGGACAGAAAUUAAUGCAAUGCCCCAUAUU